RNAcentral lists this ribosomal RNA (460 nucleotides) under uncultured bacterium. RNAcentral's name for it is "partial 16S ribosomal RNA". It matches the Rfam family "Bacterial small subunit ribosomal RNA", at positions 338 to 795 of the family's 1533-position model. The record is from RNAcentral.
CCUACGGGAGGCAGCAGUGAGGAAUAUUGGUCAAUGGUCGCGAGCCUGAACCAGCCAAGUCGCGUGAAGGAUGACUGCCCUACGUGUUGUAAACUUCUUUUGUCAGGGAAUAAAGUCAGGCACGUGUGCCUGUUUGUAUGUACUUGAUGAAUAAGGAUCGGCUAACUCCGUGCCAGCAGCCGCGGUAAUACGGAGGAUGCGAGCGUUAUCCGGAUUUAUUGGGUUUAAAGGGAGCGUAGAUGGGUUGUUAAGUCAGUUGUGAAAGUUUGCGGCUCAACCGCAAAAUUGCGAUUGAUACUGGCAGUCUCGAGUAGAGUUGAGGUAGGCGGAAUGCGUGGUGUAGCGGUGAAAUGCUUAGAUAUCACGAAGAACUCCGAUUGCGAAGGCAGCAUACUAACCCGACACUGACAUUGAUGCACGAAAGUGUGGGUAUCAAACAGGAUUAGAUACCCUUGUAGUC